Biomphalaria pfeifferi is the source of this 212-nucleotide non-coding RNA. The record is from the annotation of a GenBank genome assembly. Lineage: Eukaryota; Metazoa; Mollusca; Gastropoda; Planorbidae.
CUAAGUGUGAUUGUCUUGGCCUCUCAAAGUGAAUCUAAAUGUGUCUGAGCCAUACAGGUUGAGUCUAAGUGUGAUUGUCUUGGCCACUCAAAGUGAAUCUAAAUGUGUCUGGGCCACCCAGGUUGUGUAUAAGUGUGAUUGUCUUGGCCACUAAAAGUGAAUCUAAAUGUAUCUGGGCCACCCAGCUGGAGUCUAAGUGUGAUUGUCUUGGC